This 932-nucleotide ribosomal RNA is filed under the name Chalara longiphora. RNAcentral's name for it is "partial large subunit ribosomal RNA". It matches the Rfam family "Eukaryotic large subunit ribosomal RNA", at positions 31 to 978 of the family's 3401-position model. Lineage: Eukaryota; Fungi; Ascomycota; Leotiomycetes; Helotiales. The record is from RNAcentral.
AACUUAAGCAUAUCAAUAAGCGGAGGAAAAGAAACCAACAGGGAUUGCCUCAGUAACGGCGAGUGAAGCGGCAACAGCUCAAAUUUGAAAUCUGGGUCUUUCAGGCUCCGAGUUGUAAUUUGUAGAAGAUGCUUCGGAUGUGGCUCCGGUCUAAGUCCCUUGGAACAGGGCGUCAUAGAGGGUGAGAAUCCCGUAUGUGACUGGCUGCCUCCGUCCAUGUGAAGCUCUUUCGACGAGUCGAGUUGUUUGGGAAUGCAGCUCAAAAUGGGUGGUAAAUUUCAUCUAAAGCUAAAUAUUGGCCAGAGACCGAUAGCGCACAAGUAGAGUGAUCGAAAGAUGAAAAGCACUUUGGAAAGAGAGUUAAACAGUACGUGAAAUUGUUGAAAGGGAAGCGCUUGCAAUCAGACUUGCGCGCCGUUGAUCAUCCCUGGUUCUCCAGGGUGCACUCGGCGGCGCUCAGGCCAGCAUCGGUUUUGGUGGUGGGAUAAAGGCCUUGGGAAUGUAGCUCCUCUCGGGGAGUGUUAUAGCCCUCGGUGCAAUGCCGCCUACCGGGACCGAGGACCGCGCUUCGGCUAGGAUGCUGGCGUAAUGGUUGCAAGCGACCCGUCUUGAAACACGGACCAAGGAGUCUAACACUUAUGCGAGUGUUUGGGUGUUAAACCCAUACGCGUAAUGAAAGUGAACGGAGGUGAGAACCCUUAAGGGUGCAUCAUCGACCGGUCCUGAAGUUUACGGACGGAUCUGAGUAAGAGCAUAAUUGUUGGGACCCGAAAGAUGGUGAACUAUGCCUGAAUAGGGUGAAGCCAGAGGAAACUCUGGUGGAGGCUCGCAGCGGUUCUGACGUGCAAAUCGAUCGUCAAAUUUGGGUAUAGGGGCGAAAGACUAAUCGAACCAUCUAGUAGCUGGGUUCCUGCCGAAGUUUCCCUUCAGGA